RNA transcript from Anolis carolinensis (green anole), 1442 nucleotides. It is a transcript of the gene named F11 receptor, with no coding region annotated. The transcript has 9 exons. The record is from RefSeq and is a predicted model, not a curated record. NCBI's taxonomy places the organism in Eukaryota, Metazoa, Chordata, Lepidosauria, Squamata, Anolidae.
GUGACUGGCGGGCGGGGCGGCCAAUGAGGGCGCGGCGGAGCCUCACCUGCGUCUUUUUAGCCGAAGCGAAGGGCUCGGAGGCCUGAGAGGGACGAGGCCAUGGCGGAGAAGAAGGCCGCGGCCGGAGCCUGGGUCUGGGCCUGCCUCAGCGCUGGCCUCGUGUCCUCGGUCCUGGGACAGGUCAAAACUCUAGACGUUCCGGAGAACAGCGCGGUCAACUUGCCGUGCGAAGCCUAUGGGUCGCAGGGGACCCCGAAACGGCAGGAAUGGAAAUUCCAGAGAGAUGGGACCACCGUGUUAUUCUAUCACGACAAUGAAUUCACAGACGCCUACAAGGACCGGGCCGUCUUCUACCCCAACGAGAUCCACCUCAAGUCGGUGACGCGAAAAGACUCGGGACUCUACACCUGCGAGGUCCUGGGCAUCUCCUUCGCUCAGUCGCAAGUCAAUCUCAUCGUCCAAGUCCCGCCGUCGAAGCCCAAGGCGCAGGUCCCCUCGGUGGUGACCAUCGGGACCAAGGCGGUCCUGACCUGCGUGGAGACGGACGCCAACCCGCGGCCGGUCUACAAGUGGUACCGGGACAACGUGGAGGUGCCGGCCGACCCCAAGACCAGCUCCCUCUUCCGGAACUCCUCCUACUCGCUGGACGACAAGACCGGGGUCCUGGCUUUCGAGCCCGCCAUGGCCUUCGACGCCGGAGAUUAUUACUGCGAGGCCUCCAACAAAGUCGGGACGUCCCAGAAAUCGGACGCCGUGCGCAUGGAGACCAGCGAGGUCAACGUGGGCGGCAUCGUGGCCGCGGUGGUGGUCAUCCUCCUCGUCCUGGCGCUGGUCAUCCUCGGCGUCUGGUACGCCUACAGCCGCGGAUACUUCAGCAAAAGAAAAGAGUGAGUAGAAACUCAUCCGGUGGAGUCAUUUUCCCGGUUCAUUCUGCCCUUGGCACAAGGCCUCCCGACAACCACAUACGACUAAGUAGCUAUUUGUCGUUCAUUAUGUUUUCCUGUCUCAAAGGUAUUAAUUAACACUUGCAUCCUGCUGCGACUUAAUGAGAGAUAGGAUCCCCCCCCUUUUUUUUUUUUUUUGGUCUAACUGUUUUGAGGAGGAGAGUUUGGCCUUUGGAAACAGUGGAGGGGGAAGACUACACGGUUCCCGCGCCGCCUCAUGAUUUCGCCAUGAAUCCCCUUAAACUAUUGUUAUUUUUCUUCCUCUUUUGUCCUUUUACUUCCUCUUUCGUUUUCUAAUCCCUUUCCGGUCUCUUUUCAGCGGCUCCAACAAGAAGGUCAUUUACAGCCAGCCUUCCAGCCGCAGCGACGGCGAAUUCAAACAGACGUCUUCCUUCUUGGUCUGAAGCCCGACUACGAUCCGGCCUCGUCUUCCUGUUGUAAAUGUUCUCUUGACGAAUCUUUUGUAAUUAAGUGUGAUUUUUAAAACAGAUUUUUUUU